This 692-nucleotide long non-coding RNA is filed under the name Homo sapiens (human). Its description in RNAcentral is "HSALNT0100972". Lineage: Eukaryota; Metazoa; Chordata; Mammalia; Primates; Hominidae. The record is from RNAcentral.
AGCCUUCUCAAAAUACAAACGGCAUAUUUUGAGGCGAGUGCUGACCUCACCUUGCAAAGCUCUCUGAAGUGUCUGAGUUGAAGACCUGAAAACUGUGACCCCUGUUGCCUAGCAACUGAGAAGCUCAGCCUCAACUCCGGGUGGGGGAGAUGAUGGAGAAAGGUGAACCUAAUGGAGAUGAGUGACAGAAUGGUGAGACUGAUGAUGAUUAUGAUGUGCAGCUUCACUGAGGUCAUGGGCUUGGUUAAUUCCCUUCCAAAGGGAUGGAAGGAGAGAAAGAGAGCAAGAAGGGGUUUUUUUGUUUUGUUUGAAGCUCUUAACAAUUAAUGUUGCUGCUUAGUGUUUGGGUCUGUGCUGCUGUAUGUAUGUGAGCUGUAAUACUCACUGUGAAGGUCUUCAACUUCACUCCUGAAGUCAGUGAGAUCACGAGCCCACCAGAAGGAAGAAACUCCACACACUUCUGAACAGCUGAAGGAACGAACUCCGGACACACCACCUUGUAGAACUGUGACACUCAUGGCUUAAAAAGGAUAUUCUGUCAUGUGUGGCAAGAUGGAUAAACCUGGAGGACAUUACGCUCCAGUGAAACGGGUACUGCAUUUUGAUAAAUUGAAGGUUUGUGGAACGCUGCAUUGAGCAAGUCUAUUGGUACCAUUUUCCAACAGCAUGUGCUCACUUCAUGUCUCUGUGCC